This 71-nucleotide transfer RNA is filed under the name Camelus bactrianus (Bactrian camel). It matches the Rfam family "tRNA". From Rfam's summary of the family: Transfer RNA (tRNA) molecules are approximately 80 nucleotides in length. Their secondary structure includes four short double-helical elements and three loops (D, anti-codon, and T loops). RNAcentral also lists the same sequence under 2 other names. Lineage: Eukaryota; Metazoa; Chordata; Mammalia; Artiodactyla; Camelidae. The record is from Rfam by way of RNAcentral.
GAGGGUCUAGCUCAGUGGUAGAGUGCAUGCUUAGCAUGCUUAAAGUCCUGAGUUCAAUCCCCAGUCCCUCC